GUAUGGCCGUCAUUGCAUAAUGCAUAGCGUACAGCUGACUGGACUUCGUGGCAUUUGUAGCCACGUUGUUCAUUUAAAAUAGCAAGUACUGUGUAUUUUUGUCUUGAAUAAGUCAAACAAUGCUGUGCUUUUAGCUGAACUUUCGAAGCCAAGAAGAGAGGGAAGCAGCAAGAAGAAGAAUAUGCCUGAUGAACUUCUGCAGAGCAAACUGGCAGAACACAAAAGCAACUGCAUUAUGUGAAAAUCACUUCACUCCAGACCAGUUUGAAACCAACAGAGCUUGUGGAGUGGUAAAACUUAAACCAAAUGCUGUGACAACCAUUUUUUGUCAUCAUAAGCCACCAGUGGGAUGUAAAGCUCCUUCUGAGAGAAACCUGUUGGCCCACUAGAGAAACGAACUGAGGAUACUGAAUGGAGAGCCUUCGAAUGUGACCAGUGACAUCAGUCCUCCAGAGAACCUGGACGCAACAGGAGAUGAAGUCACCACUCUGAAGAACCUAGUACAACAGCUUCGGGCUGAAAUUUUAGCUUUGAAGAGAAAACUCAACUUCUCUCAGAAAGGGGGGAGACAAGAGUGUGUUUAGAAUAAGACAACUUUCUUGCCAGCCUGCAUGGUUUAUUUGGUGCAGAUCUGUUUGCAGUAUUAACAAAGGGGACAUGUAAAGGUAGCAAAUGGUCAGUGGAAUCACUCCAGAAAGGGCUGAGAAUUAAGACUAGCUUGUGGUAGUACGUGGUAGAAAAUAAAUUUCCGUUUCCUUCAGACAGAACCUCGAGAUGUUUGCUACAGAAUGUACAAUUUAGACCUGGUAUACUGAGGGAGCUAAUGAGUUUUCCUGAAAGUUAAGUUUGACCUCAUGCUGCCGGAUGAAAAAUGUGCUCCUUUCCUCAUGGAUGAGGGUCGUAUCAUUCCAUCAUUGGAAUAUGAUUGGAGCAUUAGUUUUUAUGCUGGGUGGUAUUACCUGAAAAUGGAAACAAACAAUAGGUUACCAUUACACAGGCCAUCAUUUUCCAGUUCUCAUGUCAAAAACAUCACUAUAAGCAUUUAGUGAAUCUGAGGCACUCGGUAUCGAUGUUCACUACAUCGUGUCAGAUAUGGGAGGGCAAAAUUAAGCUGUAUGGUAUUUUGAAAAUAUGAGGAACCACUUAGUCACCAGGCAAUCAGACUUCCUUUCACAAAAUGUUGUCGAGGAACGAUAUCUACCUUGUAAUGAGGUACAUAUAAAUCGUGUAAAACAGUUGCUUGAGAUAGACAAUGGUUUAAGUCUUAAACUUGCACCACAACUGCAUGAGAGGUGUUUGAUGCCAAACCUUUAUCAUAAAAUGAAAGUUGGCUUGGCUACUGCCCUAAUUAACAGCCAGACUGCAGCAGCCAUUGAGUAUGGUGUCAGGACAGAGAAACUGCAGGAAAAUGCUUUAACCACAGCACGGUUUCUCAAGCACGUUCAUAAGUGGUUUCGACUCAUGACAUGUAGAGCUCCAGUUAUGGCUCUGAGUCGCUCUGAUGAACAAACAUACAGUGAGGCUCUCUGUCAUCUGGAGGACACUCUGUGUUUAUUUGAAAACUUGAAAAUUGGCCUGAAGGGUGCCUGGAAACCAGUUCAGUCUUUGUAGUUUUGUCAACUGUAGGUAUUUUGGAAUUGCAGGACACAUUCGUGAAUGAGAAGAAUUUUAAAUUUCUGCUAACAAGUAGAUUUGCACAAGAUGCUUUAGGAAAUCUGUUUUCAAUGGUCUUCUUCAAAAAUCCAGUAUCAGCACCAUCAGAACUGAAAACAGCACUGAUGAUUAUUACUCUUUCUUAAUUCUUUACUUAUACCACUGAUAAUGAAAAUUAAGACAGUAGAUUCCUGGCAGAAUUAGUGGGGUAAUUUGUAAGUGAAGAUGGGGAUAAGUGUGCCGAGGAAGUUGACGAGCCACUUGUAACAUGGUGUGUGAUGAUGAGCACCAGUCUCUCUACUAUUUAUGUUGUCACAAUGUUAGGCAAGCUACGGAGCGCCAUGCACUUUGAGAGGAGAGCCUAAUCGCAUCCAAAGAAAAUCCCUGUACGUCUGUGAACGUGCUUUUACAUCUGAAGUCCUUUAUAGAUGCCUCACUUAUUCAGCCACCAAGUGAGGUUUUCAGUGUAUUGCAAAUGGCAAAGGUUCAUUUGAGAAGCAACAAGAAGAAGUUACUCACAAGUGAAUUUUUGGUCUCUGAUAUAGCCACUUCUGUGUUUGCAUCAGUGGAGGAGAAAGCAGUUUUCCUAUCCUGCCACAGUGUACAGAAGAAAAUAAUUCACUUUUUUGGCAACAAGAGUACAUAUGCUUCUAAAUGAGGCAAAUAAAAGAUACCAGGGUGUAGUGACACAGGGCAGUAGAAGCAUGGCUAUGAGAAAAUUAUUGCAGAAUCUGUGACUUCCAAAAUCACGUUUUAGUAAGUAAUUUGGAAAAUUGACAUUCAAACUUCAUUAGGUUAUCUUUAAUAUCUUGAGGCACAAAAUCUGUGGUAACAUUUUCUCUUCAAAUAAUCUCAUUUCUGUUUGACUUACAGAGAUUUUUAUAAAAUUUUUGUUCCAUGUUUCUUUCUGAAUGUGGGAUGUUAUUAUUAUCUCGUGUAAUAUUUGUUACAUUUUGCAAGCAGACUCUGUCCCUGUCAAGGGUUAAGAAUGAUACAUAGAUAAAUAAAAACUUCAUCCUUCAACCUGUGUACAUAUUAGACAUUUGUGCUUUACCAUCACCUUUGUUUCUUCCUUGUGCUUCAUUUGCUUUCUUUAAUUUGUUUCUCUUGGUUUUAAUAGGCUUUUAUACAUACAUAUGAAGACAGUAACUGUUCUUGAAAGAACAGAAUACUGUUGAUGACCGUGCAGCUAUUCCCUGGAUUAAAUGAUGACUAACUGAAAACCUCAGCUGCCGACAGGUGUUGUUGAUAUACCUCGAUGUGGACAGCUGAAAAUGUGUGCCCCAACCAGCACAGUUACUGUCUUCAUAUAUAUAGUUAAAGGCUACCCACCUAUUGACCUUCAUCUGUGUGAAUGCGUUGCCCAAACUCAUACGGGAAUCGCCAAAGCGUGCGCGAGUAAUGAGUGAAUGGGCAAAUGUCUAUAAGAUACAUUACAUAUGUAGAAUUGUGGACAGUUGGGAAUGUGAGUCUCACGGGAAGCGUGCAAGAGAUAAGUUCCUGCAGUGAUGGUUCACAAGUAGGCCACCCUUUUGAAGAAUACUUGUUUCAAAACAUGGUGAAAUUUGAAGGUUAUUUCAUGUAAAUGUCAUGCACAUUUUGUAUUGUAAUUGCUAUUUUUAUUUCUCUUCAUAAUCUGACAAUUUAUGUUGAAAUCACGAAUGUGUGAGCGGAAAUGCAGUCAACUGUGGUACAUUCUGUAGUUAAAGUUACUGAAUGCUCCUGAUAGUGAAAAUGUAGACAAGUUAACCUAUUGCUGUAAUAUUUUAAUAUUUAUACUGAUAAAGUUACACUGCCAUUCUGGCUAAGUUUAGGUUAGUCUUAGACAACACUUAUUUUAACUACGUGGAAUUCCGUGGGUAACUUUUUAGCCAUCAAAAAAGUAAAUCAGUGGUUAAUAAGUAGUUUAAACAAAUUGUUCUAGUUCAGUAAUGCAGGUUUACUUUGAAAUUUUAUUUGUAUAGACCUGUUAAAAACAGUUUUAAUUUAAGUGGAUAUAAAUGCAAAAAUAAGAUUUCUUCAGGAUAUUUUUAACAACAUGUAUUACAAAUAAUAGUGUACAGAUUGUCUUCAAAGUAGAACAAUACUUUCAGCAAUACUAUAUAGUAAAUACAUUCCCUCAAACAUUUUCAGAUACUAAGUGUAGAUGUUCACUUCUGUUAUGGACCAUUCCCCUUUCUGUUAACAGGUAUUGGGUGAGAUUUAACUUUUCUGUUGAUAAACUGUCUUUACAGUACAAAACUGCAUCUUAGCCUUCAGGUCAAAAACCUGUUUCUUUUUUUCCUUUCUUGGACCUGGAAAUGCAACUUAUUUAAAAAACUUGUCUUAUAUAUCUGCUGUAGUGACUUUUCCAGCAUAUGGUUUACCUUCAUGUAGUGUAAUGACAACCAUUUAUUUGAAAGCCAUAUUCCAAAACUAAUUUAAAUUUGGUGACCAAAUCCCCCAGCAAACCUAGAACCAUGUUCAUUAUUGGUAGUGCAGAAAUGAUGUUCACAAUUUCCCCAUGAUCGUGAGCACGCAACUGCUGUUUACACCUAAUUCAGCUAAUUUCAGGCUACUGUCAGGAGCAUCUCUAGGCUCAUUAUUUUAAUUUCAGUGCCUGACCACUGCAGCAAAAGUCCUUAUACAUUUUCUUGUUUUUGGGUUUAUCUUGGUCACAAUGGGAAAGGUUGCAGGAACUUGACUUAAUGAUUCAGUUAAAUUUAUUCAUUUAUGGUCUUUUGUCUUUCUACAUUUCUGUUACUUAGUUUCCAAUCCAUUCGAAGAGCAAAAAAAAGUCAGAAGAGCUAACAGGAUGGUUUGAUGGUAAUUUAAUUACAAAAUAGAAAUUUUGGAGAUAAAACUGACACUGUAAGGGCAUAAAAUGAGAAAUAGUGAGUGGUACCAUAGAAAGUUAUCAUGACUGGUAAAAAAAAUUGACCUUAUUGACUGUAAAGUAGUGUUUAAACUCAUAUUUAGGAGGCUCAUGAUAGUAAAUUGUACUUUGUACAACACAAUAUAUUGUACAAAAAGUAAAUUUCAUGCUAUGCAAGUAUCAAAUUUAUGAUCUUUUAUUUAGUAACCAUUGUUACCUGGAGACUAUUAUUACAAUUGCAACCUGGUUGCUAAAAUGAGUUGUAUUAAGACAACUACAGUUGUUACUGUUUCCUACAUACUCAUUUUGAUCAUAGACGUAGUUUUGUUUGAAUACAUUUCAAAAAUAUUGUAUUCUCUUGUGCUUUCUUAAUGAUUCUUAUAACGUCAUAGAACAAUUGCAGACAAAAUUUUAUAGCAUACAUCUGACAAAAAUAAAAGGCAUGCAUAAUCAUAUAGGCACGUUUAUCGAUUCUAUUUACUAAGGUAGCGUGCAUAUAUAUUUGAAUCCAAUGCUUUAUUUUGUAUUAAAAAAAGACAUUGGUCGUAUUUUUGUAGUACCAAGUAGGAGGAAUAAGAAGUCGAUACAGAGCUUUAAAUUAACGAUAGAUUUUUCCUUGCACUUACAAAAUAUUGGUUCCUCUGACCCCUGUGAGUAUUUGAUGAUAAUAAUAAUAAUAAUAAUAAUAAUAAUAAUAAAGAUUUUAUUGUCUUUAGGCCAUUACAGCAAUUGACGUCCAAUGAAGGUACAAUUUAUAAUACAGUGUGAUAAGGUAUUGACUACUGAAAUAUUUUAGCUUAUAUUACAAUAAAUGUACAGUGGGUCAUCUGUUGGAUUACUGCAUUUUACAGUUGAAGAAUUCAUUGAUAUCAUAGAAUGGGUGGGCAAUAAACCAUUCAUGCAGUCUUUCUUUGAUUGUAUGUUUAGGAAGAUCCUGUAGAACAUGUGGCAGCUUAUUAAAUAGUUUGUGCCCUGUGACUUCAUAGCUAUUUAUUGAUUUUGAUAAUCUGUGGCGAGGCGUGUAUAUGUGUUUGAUGCUUAUUGUGUUGUAACAAUAUACAUUUUCUCUACGUUUCACAUCUUGUAGUUUGUUCUUCGUAAAGAUUAAGACUUGUAUAUAUAGAGGUUUAUUACUGUCAUAAUUUUUUGUUUAGUAAAUAAGGGUUUGCAGUGAGCCCUUUGUGAAGAAUUUGUAAUUAUCCUAAUGGCUUUCUUCUGCAAUAAAAUGAUGUCAUGUAUAUGACUACAGUUACCCCACAAGAUAAUGCCAUAGGAUAUUAUACUUUGGAAAAAUGUAAAAGAAGAUAAUCUGAUGUAUG
Long non-coding RNA from Schistocerca cancellata (South American locust), 5826 nucleotides. RefSeq lists it as uncharacterized. The record is from RefSeq and is a predicted model, not a curated record. The transcript has 3 exons. NCBI's taxonomy places the organism in Eukaryota, Metazoa, Arthropoda, Insecta, Orthoptera, Acrididae.